GACGAACGCUGGCGGCGUGCCUAAUACAUGCAAGUUGAGCGAUGAAGAUUGGUGCUUGCCCCAAUUUGAAGAGCAGCGAACGGGUGAGUAACGCGUGGGGAAUCUGCCUUUGAGCGGGGGACAACAUUUGGAAACGAAUGCUAAUACCGCAUAACAACUUUAAACAUAAGUUUUAAGUUUGAAAGAUGCAAUUGCAUCACUCAAAGAUGAUCCCGCGUUGUAUUAGCUAGUUGGUGAGGUAAAGGCUCACCAAGGCGAUGAUACAUAGCCGACCUGAGAGGGUGAUCGGCCACAUUGGGACUGAGACACGGCCCAAACUCCUACGGGAGGCAGCAGUAGGGAAUCUUCGGCAAUGGACGAAAGUCUGACCGAGCAACGCCGCGUGAGUGAAGAAGGGUUUCGGAUCGGAAAACUCUGUUGGUAGAGAAGAACGUUGGUGAGAGUGGAAAGCUCAUCAAGUGACGGUAACUACCCAGAAAGGGACGGCUAACUACGUG
This 497-nucleotide ribosomal RNA is filed under the name uncultured bacterium. RNAcentral's name for it is "partial 16S ribosomal RNA". It matches the Rfam family "Bacterial small subunit ribosomal RNA", at positions 28 to 507 of the family's 1533-position model. The record is from RNAcentral.